UACUUCUGACAAACCUGGAGAAGUUAAUGUCUGCUGCUAAGGUUUCCACUACAGAAGCAAGGAAAGUAAGUUCCUCAUGUUUUCUGUCUGUCUGGUUUUGGGAGCCAAGAUUGAAAAGGAAUUUCUAAAA
This 130-nucleotide small nucleolar RNA is filed under the name Dasypus novemcinctus (nine-banded armadillo). Its description in RNAcentral is "Small nucleolar RNA SNORA31 (ENSDNOG00000029573.1)". The record is from RNAcentral. Lineage: Eukaryota; Metazoa; Chordata; Mammalia; Cingulata; Dasypodidae.